AUGAGAAAUGCAAAUAGCUCGGCUAAUUCGGGAAGGCAGCGGCGGAGAUCAUGGCCCGUGUCCCACGGAGUGGGGUUGCGCCUUGGCUGCGGCUCCUCGUGCGGCGUGGGUUGUCAGCUGGAGCUGCACUGCUGUCUAACCUCUGGAUGGGAUCAGUGAUGAACACAGCACUGCCAAAAGCAAUUCAGCUCCUAGGAGGCAGCUGAUAUACUGCGACAUUCUUUUUCUUGCGGGAGAUUUAUUUUCUUACCAGAUAGCCUCAAAAUUCUCCUGUUGAACUCUUUUCUGGACGUGGAAGAAAUACUUCUAUUUGCGCACAGGUUGAGGCACUCUGCCGGCUCACUAGAACUGCUUGCGCCUUCCAUAUUUGCUUACAGGAUCGAAGUAGGCUGUGGAGAACAAGCAUUUGUGAUGGCACUUUCCUCUUCUUUCUGCCUUUCCCUGAAGCGUAGCAGCAGUCUUGUCUGUCACCUCUAAAUACCGAAGCUUUCCAUUCUGGUUCCAGUGUGUGCAGGUUGGCUGCAGUGUAACCAUGCAUAAACUAGACAUGAUGGUGGAAACUCUGUGGCUGGGAUGUUCAGCGACUUCUCAAAAGCCACAAAGCUGGAUUUUUGCUGCCUGUUUGCUAACAAUGCCCACAGAUCAUCUCCUGUUCGCAUUGCUGUGCUUUAAAAGAGACAGGAGUGAUGGCUGUAGCUCUCCUCAUCCCCAGGGCUAUCGAUGCCAGCCCAGCAUGCAGGGAACAAGGGAGCCCCUGUUUAACCUAAUGAUGAUAACUGCAUAGCCAGCGAGGGGAUGAAUGACCCCACGGAGCUAAAUGCUUUUCAGCUUCAGCACAAUGCUGAAAAUGUGCUGCUUUAUUGUGGAGCCUCCAGUGUGCCUGCGAGAGGAGUGGUGAUGUUCCCACCUGCUGCUGGGGAGGGUUAAACGGAGCCUUGGGAGGGAAGGCAUCCUUGCUGGGAGGAGAGGAUACUACAAUGGUCAGAGCACUUUUGUUUGUUCUCCUUGCCUCUCCCAGGACUGCCUGCAAGGAGGUAAAUCACUGAGUGACAGCCCUCUGUUCUUCAAGGCUUCGUCUUCAAAUGGCAGUGCUCUCAUUGCACGCCUUCAGAGCUGCUGGGAUAAAUUCUGCAUCUAAUCUCUGCAGGGUUUUUGUGCAAAUGGCCCCAACUUUCUCUUGAUUUUUUGCUGUGAUGCCACUGAUGUUAGGAAAACGCUGCCUCUGUUCUGUUGUAUGUGUGUGUUUUGUGUGGAAAUUGCCAUCCGAGAGGAUCUGUGUGCGAAUUAACUGCUGUUAUGCUUUGCUUUUUGACAAGCAAAUGUGGAUCUCCCUUCUGCUAUUAAAUGAUAUCUGGGCUGCCACCAGCUGAAUGUCUUCUGUGAGCUGAGAUGCUCGCUGUCCCUGAAAGCUGAACUGUGAAUUGCAAGAUCGGAUUCCUUCUGUGCUUGUGGGACUCCAGUAAAUGAAAAGCCAGAGCAGGAAAAGCAGCAUUCACAGCCUACCAAACUCCGUGUGUCAGAGUUGCUGCAACGCUACAGACAAAAGCGUUUCCAGCCUGUCUGAAGAACUUGCUCAAUGGUCCGUGUGUAAUCUACGGACUCUGAAAAAUAGUCAGGUAUUUAGGUGUUCCUCUGGGGAUGCAAAAAUGCAGGUGCUGAAGAGGCCAGCAUAUGGCUUGAUUAGGAAAUGAUAUAAGUAGCACAUCUGGGAGGGUUCUAAUAUUAGGACACACUUCAGCUGCUAUAAAGUAUGUUAAAAUCUAAACUUUGUGAUGUGACUGAGCAGCUUUCAGUACCAUACUGCACAGGCACCCAUAAUUGACACAUGCCUGUACCCUGGAAUUACUAUUGAAUUAAACCAAAGCAUGUCUCACCUGGAAAGAGCCACAUCUGACUUUCUCCCUUGUCCUGCCUCAAAGUAGAUGAAGUGAAAAGUCACUUGAAGGAUGUUAUUCAGAGCUUCCUGAGAAUUAUGUUUGCUUGUUUUGCUGUUGGCAAGCUUUGAAUCUCUAGGACUAAAACUUGUGGAUGUUUACCAUUUACCUUCUGCAGCUGGGGAAGCCAGGUUUAAAUCUGUGCUCCAGAACAGGUAGGCAGCAGGUCUCAAAACAAAUAUCUAAUGUUGGUUUUCGCAGAGGAAGUGACUGAUCCACCAAAGAGCCAGUGCUAGUGCUGGGGAAUAAUUUAGGCUUCUUUCCCAGGCCAACAAUUCAGUUGAGAGGUGCUUUCCUUUAGCUUUUGUGGCGGGCUACCAGCCCACGGGAGCGAUGUCUUGCUGCUGGAAGUCCUCAGCCUGGUCCCUGCUGAUGUCUCCUAGUACCUGUUAGAGGCUAGACUGCUUCCUGCUGCCUUGGGACAAAUUAGCAGAGGGUGUGGGAGAACUGGUGGCUUGAUGGGCCUGCCUCUGCUGCGGAGGCACUUUAUGAGGAGCAUGCAACUGGCCUUGGUGGGACAGGUGCUGCUCCUGCUGGCUGCUCUGUUUCCUUUCCUUGUCUCCUGGGAACCUGAUUUCCUCCUCUCCCAUCUGCUUUCCGCAUUUGCUGCCUGCUCAGCGUGGGUCAGAGCUGCUGUGCAGGGGCCCAAGCCCAUGGGGGCUGCCCAGCAGAGCCCCUCCAGUGCUGGGAGCUGGGGGCUGUGAUGCUGUGCAGGGAGGCACGGGGGAGCCCGUGUAUAGGAGCACAACUCAGGCUUUCUGUGACUGGCUGUCUUUAUUCAAAUACCAAUCUCAGCACCUUAUUGUGCAGAAAAAAUGGUGAAGCAAAGAAAUAAACUCCACAGGGCAAUGGGAUUUGUUUGUCUGUAAGUAGUUCUGCUGAUGUGCCUGGGUGUAACUAGGCAGAGGGCAGGUGCAGGAGCUUUAAGAAAUAACUUAAUUUUAAUUUUUUUGUAAGUUUUAAAGUUGGACUAACUGUGCUUUGUAACCGUGUUCUUUUGAUUGAGUGUCUGUCAUAUUAUAGAUGUUCUUGGAGAGUUGAGAGGAAAAGCAGCUUGCAAAUUCAUUAAGGAACUCUUCCGUGAACCUUGCGAUUUCCAGUGGCAUAUCAAAAAAAAAUCAGCUUAGAAAAGCAGCAAGUGUUUUAGGUGCCUGGCCAAGCAGCAAACAUCCUCCAAGUCGUUUAUUGCUAAUCAGAGGCAGGAAAAACUGUUGCAAUGAAAAGUGAAGUUACUUGGAAGUUGGAAUGCCCUUUCAUUUGAACACAAAUAGUUUGUUUUCAUCAUUUUUCUCUGUGAAUUGAACACAUCUGUCUUAAUUAUAAAGACUUAAUAUGUAAAAAAUAGAGCAUUUGGAGUAAAAGGUAUUAUCUUUCAGUGAUGCAGUGUACGCUAAUGAAUGCAGGAGUUAGCAUGACAUGCAGUAUCUGUCCCCAUUUAUUCCAGGGGACUGGACUUCUACAAGGCUGCUCCAGAAUCAGUGGGAUGCAGAAGGGUCGUAAGGACAGGGCAGCAAUUUGUGGAUUUUCUGACACUGGUGUCUGUACUUCUGUUAGCUUCUUCUCAGUAUCUUUAAAUGUCAAAAGAAAUCUGAGUAUUUAUUCGCUUUUUGAGGGGAAAAUGUGGUCCCAGAAGUGUAAAAAAUGCGAAGAAAACAAGAGGUGAAUGCUUCCAUGACAUAAUGUGAGGGAUGUGACUUGCCAGUCAAAACUUGGCUGGCAUAUCGAUGCAGUAAGCUGUAUCCAGUAGGUAAGCAAAUGGUGUCACCCUCUUCCCAGAUCCCAAACAACCUCCUUAAUGUGUAGGCAGCAGCCACCGAUCCUCAUGGAACAAACAUGUCCCCUUCCAGCAGGAGAGACAACACAGGGUCCUUUGAUUCCUCCUAAUUGCCUUUCAGUGUUUGUGGUCCAAUUGUACAUUUUCUGCAGAAGUUCAGUAAUUUUGGUCGCUGGCUUCCUCUCCUUGCUGACCUACAAAUACCAGUUUUCAGGGAGAGAUUUAUGAGCGGCAUAAAAUUACCAUCUUGUAAAAGCACAAAUCAUGGCUAUAAAUAGGGGUCUGGAAUAUGUGCAGGAGCCCCGAGGGAAUAGUGGCUCUUGCUUUGUCUGCCCAGGAUAGCCCUGCUAACCCAGGGUAAGGAGCCCGGUGCUCUGACUCUUGUAAGCUGGAUCAGAGCCAGCCAACCUUCCCCUAAUCCCCAUCCUUGCGAGGAUGGAAAUAACAUCUGGCCAGGCUGACAGUGGUCAGGCUGUAUAGGAGCUGAGAGCUCUGAAAACUGAACCUCCUCAAGCCUCGUAUGCAUUUAUCUUCCCUUGCAGAACAUUAGCAGGCAGAGUUUGUUUUCAGUGAGUUAUUUAGCAGAGAGGGGGAUUAAGCCGAGGGCUAGCAUUGAUUAACCCCUGCAUGUUGAGUUGUUUAACAGCGUAAUGGAUUAGUCAUGUUUGCUGGUGACCUUUGUCAAUUGAAUCCUCCAUCAGAAGUCUCUGCUGUCUUUUUAAACGUACAGAUGCUUAAAAGCAGAGUCUAUGAAAAAAAUGUCCCUAAAGUGAGUAGCUGGCUUAGAGCAUGGGACCGGGGCAAAUAGUCCUGGAAUUCCUGAUUUUUUGGUUUGGCGUAGAGGUAAGCCAUGGCACCCCACUUCUGCAGCUUGGCUACUUUCUGUUGCCCAUCAAAUGAAUCAAAGUGCUUGUGGGCUUCUGUAUAACAGACAGGCAUGAGGUAGAAGUUGUCUGAAUGGAAAUGCAUUGCGGGAAAAGGACUGAAUUUUCUGUGGGACUUGGAAGACUGUAGAAUGAGAGUCCAGCUUAGGACAGGAGUUAAUGUCACCCUGGAAAUUAAACCACUGUCAAGCUUAGUGAUUAAGUAGUUGACUUUAUUUAAAGGAAGGUAUGGGGUAGAAAUGCUGUGAGUGUAAAUGUGUGAAGCUCCUUUGCUUUUGAAGGAGCUAUGUCAAUUUAGAUAAUCUAGAUGGCAUUUCUGCUGCUAAAGCCAGGACUGGGGAGAGGAAAAACUGCUCUGUGGGGCCAAACGUGACCCCACAAUGAGCAUCUGUAGGAGACUGAGGAAAAAAGGGUGAUGUCCCAAACCAGAAGAUGUGCCAGGCUGGUCCUGUCCUGGCCCCCCGCAGUACCCUCAGCUGCAAGGGGAUGGGGCAAGGGCUCCUCGUGGUACCCAAGGGCUAUGGAGAGCCCUGACUUUGGGCAGCCUCAGGCCCAGUGGAAUGUCUGGAUGAGGGUUUCUCAGAUCUUCCAUUUCCUCAGCAGUGCCAUGAAGCUGUUAUACUUGACUUUACAAGCAAAAUACCUUCCCGCUGCAGCCAGGAGUUUUCUGGGCUCAUUUUGCCAUAGUACAAGUCAGGUCAAGAAGUUUGUUUGGUUUACUAAAGAAGAUACUUCAGUUCAAACAAGACUUAAUUCAGCGAAGCCCCAUGGCCUCUGAAACUUGAUCCCCUCUGGCCUCAUGAUUUAUGAAUACAAAGCUGGGGAGAAGUCUCGCUGGAAGAAAACAAGCUGUAUGGAAAAAAUAAAGGCAUCGGAGCAGGUAGGUGUUAGAAACCCAUCUGUGCAGAGGUGGCACAGCCAGGGGGUGUCAUGAGCUGCAAAGUGCUCUGCCCUCCUGGGGGGAUUUAAUCCUGUGGAGGGGAGCAGCUGAGGAUGGUUUGGAGUAGGUGCCCUUUAGCAGAGGGGUUGGACUGGGGUCUCUACAGCCCUGUGCUUUUGUUUUCCACAGAUGUGGACAGAACUGGAAGGAGAAAAAAUCCAUAGUGGCACUGAGGUGGUUUGGUGGUGUUUGGAGGUGGGGCUGCACCAGAUGCUCAAAGGGAAGUGAAAUGCUAAUGGAGUAUUUUGUACCUCUUGAAAAUGUGGCCAAAACACCUUGGACUUGUGCAGAAAGGUGUCUGAGGAAGAGACCAGCCAACCUGAAGGUUCAGAUGGCUGCGAGGGUUGGUAACAAAUCCAGCAGCUUGUGGAUGCUCCAGAAAGACACCAGCCCUGGAAAAUCCCAGCCCUCAAACCACUGAGGGUCUGCAGUAGGGAAUAGGGGGACUUGUGGGUGCUGCACCCUGGAGCCCAGCAGAAGUGAGGGGUCUGGCCCAGGUCUGCACCUCAGGCCAGGCUGUCUGGCUUGCCCCAGUGCUGCCCAAACUGGAAAAAUCAUCAGUGCGAAGAGGGAGUAAAAUACAGCAGGGACUUGUGGAAAGGUGCUGAUGUGUCUGAAAAGGUGACUUACUGGAAACACUGAACAGACAGAAGUAAAAAUUAGUCAUGUUAGAGACCACUUGGUAGCUGGAUAGGAUUCCUUGAGUGAUUCAUCCACAAAAAUGACUGCUUUGCCUGACGUUUUAUUUCCCCUCUCUAUUUAGAAAGUAGCUUAGACUUACCAAGACUGUGGCCCGUUGUCUGAAUUGCUUUUUGAUAGCUGGGUGGUGCGCAUAGCAUCCUCGUAUUCUCAUCAUUUCUAAACCACUGCUUCAGCAAGGGGGGGAAAAGACAACAAAAUUGAGGGCUUUGUCACUCCAGAAGCCCUCAGAGGAAUGAACCUGUAAUCUUGAGAAAUCAAAGGGGAAUCCAGGGAAUGUUGCCUUGUGUCUUUAAUGCAAUAAAAUUACAAAUGGAAAUGGCUGCCUGUAAAUUGUGUCAGAGUUAAUUGACAGAAAUACUGGGGAAAAAGAGUUGGAUGGAAGUCUCCAGGUUUGAAGCUGCUCGAUUUCAGCGGAAGGACUAAAGAAAGGACCAUCAGCUGGUGCAACCAAAACAUGCUGGGAUGCUUAUGUCAGUUACUAGAUGUGGAUAGAGUAAUUCAUAAAUGAUACCAAUUUUGGGUGUGCUUGGACAUGUAAAAUGUUCACUUUCCCUAUUGCUACUGGUCAUAGGGACUAAAACCUACCUGUGAUUUUUUUCACCAGCUCAUGUGUGGGGAAUAAACCUAGCAAAUGCCAUUGUUUGUCCUAAGGAGAGCAUGUUUAACAUGAACAGGAGGGCCUGCUGUGCUGCCUGGUGCUUGCCAGCAAAGGUCAGUGUCUGAGGCAGGGGAAGGUUGAACCAGCUUGCCCCAUGGUGGGAGCAGGAGCACGGUUUCUCAGUGCUGUGACCACACGUUCUUGUGAAAUUCACGCAAAUUUUUUCAGGAUUACUGGAACACAGAAACCAUCAGCGGAAAAGAUCUCUGGUCAUCCAACCCACUCAUGGCAGAGCAGGGUCGUUCCCAGCCAUGUAUAGCUUUGUCCAGACUGAUUUGAUGUGACUCAAGCAUUCAGAUUUUUUGCCACUUCCUUUGGGCAAAAAAGCCACUUGCAUGGCUGAGGAAACCUUGAUGUAAGGA
This is a non-coding RNA of Anas platyrhynchos (mallard), 7254 nucleotides long. The record is from RefSeq and is a predicted model, not a curated record. Lineage: Eukaryota; Metazoa; Chordata; Aves; Anseriformes; Anatidae.